This 338-nucleotide ribosomal RNA is filed under the name uncultured bacterium. Its description in RNAcentral is "bacterial SSU rRNA". It matches the Rfam family "Bacterial small subunit ribosomal RNA", at positions 1 to 334 of the family's 1533-position model. The record is from RNAcentral.
GUGAGUAGUUCAGAGUUUGAUCCUGGCUCAGGAUUAACGCUGGCGGCGUGCAUAACACAUUCAAGUCGAACGGAAUCGGGUGCUUCGGUACCUGAUUUAGUGGCGGACGGGUGAGUAACGCGUGAGCAAUCUACCCUCCAGUACGGGAUAACAACCGGAAACAGUUGCUAAUACCGUAUGAAAUGGCAGCAUCGCAUGGUGCAACCAUCAAAGAUUUAUUGCUGGAGGAUGAGCUUGCGUCCGAUUAGAUAGUUGGCGGGGUAAAGGCCCACCAAGUCGACGAUCGGUAGCCGGACUGAGAGGUUGAACGGCCACAUUGGAACUGAGAUACGGUCCAG